CCGGCUCCCGUAGUUUAAACUCUGCCCUGUAACCAGCAGGGGGGUGAAACGCGGGUGACAUGACGUCGCGGGAAACGUGCAGCGCAGAAGAUGCGUCGCUGUACCCUCACUCAUCGGCUUCACGCUGAAGCUGAUGUGAAAGGAGCGCACCUCAUUGAACGGAGUUGGUCGUUGUGGGUACGGUCCAUACCUGUCGGCCGGGACAGAUGCUCUACCAAAUGGAUUCCAGUUCUGACGACAAUCAUUUGAAGACAGCAGCACAGUGGAGAUAAAGAAAACGGUAGAUAUUAGCUUUUGCGAUAGCGGCAAGAUGGCUCAAACCGUGUGUGUUAAAUCAAUAUUAUUAUUAUUAUUUGGUGUUUAAACUUUUACAAUAGGCAGUUAGAGGAGAUCUCAAGUAUUAGCUGAUUUUUGCUAUUUUUGGCCCCUAGUCCCUGUGAAUAGUGCAAAUCCAGUCCACAUAUUGUUACAUAUAUCUAUUAUACAUACAUAUAUAUGUCCUUAAUCAAUAAAAAGUUCAUACAUUUUUA
Molecule: long non-coding RNA, 530 nt
Organism: Poeciliopsis prolifica (blackstripe livebearer)
Lineage: Eukaryota; Metazoa; Chordata; Actinopteri; Cyprinodontiformes; Poeciliidae
Exons: 4
Source: RefSeq, a predicted model, not a curated record